UCUUGUGUAGACAAACUGGUAAAGUCAGUGGACUGUUAAUCCACCGCUUAAUUGCACUGUAGGUUCGAAGCCUACCACAAGAG
RNAcentral lists this transfer RNA (83 nucleotides) under Acinetobacter phage vB_AbaM_Acibel004. It matches the Rfam family "tRNA". From Rfam's summary of the family: Transfer RNA (tRNA) molecules are approximately 80 nucleotides in length. Their secondary structure includes four short double-helical elements and three loops (D, anti-codon, and T loops). Lineage: Duplodnaviria; Heunggongvirae; Uroviricota; Caudoviricetes; Luriaviridae. The record is from Rfam by way of RNAcentral.